This 490-nucleotide ribosomal RNA is filed under the name uncultured bacterium. RNAcentral's name for it is "bacterial SSU rRNA". It matches the Rfam family "Bacterial small subunit ribosomal RNA", at positions 903 to 1397 of the family's 1533-position model. The record is from RNAcentral.
AAAUGAAUAGACGGGAGCCCGCACAAGCAGUGGAGUAUGUGGUUUAAUUCGACGCAACGCGAAGAACCUUACCGGGUCUUGACAUCCAAGGAACCGGCCGUAAUGGGCCGGGUGCCCUUCGGGGAGCCUUGAGACAGGUGGUGCAUGGUUGUCGUCAGCUCGUGUCGUGAGAUGUUGGGUUAAGUCCCGCAACGAGCGCAACCCUUACGGUUAGUUGCUACGCAAGAGCACUCUGGCCGGACUGCCGUUGACAAAACGGAGGAAGGUGGGGACGACGUCAAAUCAUCAUGCCCCUUAAGACCCGGGCUACACACGUACUACAAUGGCGCAAACAAAGGGAAGCGAAGUCGCGAGGCGGAGCGAACCCCAGAAAAGGCGCCCCAGUUCGGAUUGCAGGCUGAAACUCGCCUGCAUGAAGUCGGAAUUGCUAGUAAUCGCGGAUCAGCAUGCCGCGGUGAAUACGUUCCCGGGCUUUGUACACACCGCCCGU